This 305-nucleotide ribosomal RNA is filed under the name uncultured bacterium. Its description in RNAcentral is "bacterial SSU rRNA". It matches the Rfam family "Bacterial small subunit ribosomal RNA", at positions 336 to 657 of the family's 1533-position model. The record is from RNAcentral.
CCCCUACGGGAGGCAGCAGUCGGGAAUAUUGCGCAAUGGAGGAAACUCUGACGCAGUGACGCCGCGUAUAGGAAGAAGGUUUUCGGAUUGUAAACUAUUGUCGUUAGGGAAGAUAAAAGACAGUACCUAAGGAGGAAGCUCCGGCUAACUACGUGCCAGCAGCCGCGGUAAUACGUAGGGAGCAAGCGUUAUCCGGAUUUACUGGGUGUAAAGGGAGCGUAGGCGGUGCAGCAAGUCAGAAGUGAAAGCCCGGGGCUCAACUCCGGGACUGCUUUUGAAACUGUUGAACUAGAUUGCAGGAGAGG